GGGUUAUUUCAAAGAGGUCUUGUUAGGUUGUGAAAGCAAGAGCUCCAAACAUUGUAACCCAAGAUGGAAGUUCUCCAUAGGAUGGUAAAGUAACUUAAUAGUACUGAGUUACUCAUAGAAGAAUGCCUU
Molecule: small nucleolar RNA, 129 nt
Organism: Cricetulus griseus (Chinese hamster)
Lineage: Eukaryota; Metazoa; Chordata; Mammalia; Rodentia; Cricetidae
Source: Ensembl